This 247-nucleotide ribosomal RNA is filed under the name uncultured bacterium. Its description in RNAcentral is "partial 16S ribosomal RNA". It matches the Rfam family "Bacterial small subunit ribosomal RNA", at positions 523 to 769 of the family's 1533-position model. The record is from RNAcentral.
AUACGGAGGGGGCGAGCGUUGUUCGGAAUUACUGGGCGUAAAGCGCGCGUAGGCGGUUAGGUAAGUCGGAUGUGAAAGCCCUCGGCUCAACCGAGGAACUGCGUCCGAUACUGCCCGACUUGAGUCCGGUAGGGGAUGGCAGAAUUCCCGGUGUAGCGGUGGAAUGCGUAGAUAUCGGGAAGAACACCAGUGGCGAAGGCGAUCUGCUGGGCCGUUGCUGACGCUGAGGCGCGACAGCGUGGGGAGC